UGUCAAGCUCUAAAGGGCGCGUGGUGGAUGCCUAGGCGUGGAGAGGCGAUGAAGGACGUGGACAGCUGCGAUAAGCUUCGGGGAGCCGCUAACAGGCUUUGAUCCGGAGAUUUCCGAAUCGGGCAACCGUGCAGGGUAACCUGCAAGCAACGACGCGAAUACAUAGUGUCGGUGCUGCCAACCCAGGGAACUGAAACAUCUAAGUACCUGGAGGAAAGUAAAUCAAGUCAGAGAUUCCCCUAGUAGUGGCGAGCGAACGGGGAAGAGCCCAAACCUGAUCAGUGUAAGCCUAAGAGCGUUGCUGGUCGGGGGUUGUGGGAUCACUAUUUCAGAUUCUUAGGUCUGGAACGGAGUUACCAAAUUAGUCGCUAGCCGAACAGUUCUGGAAAGGCUGGCUAGAAAGGGUGAAAGCCCCGUACGCGAAAGCGACUAAUCUCCGAAGUGACACCCGAGUACCGCAGGACACGUGAAAUCCGGCGGGAAUCUGGGAGGACCAUCUUCCAAGGCUAAAUACUACUCCACGACCGAUAGUGAACAAGUACCGUGAGGGAAAGGUGAAAAGAACCCCGGCUAGGGGAGUGAAAUAGUACCUGAAACCGCGCGUCUACAAGCAGUGGAACCACUAUGCCCGCAAGGGAAUGUGGAACCGCGUACCUUUUGCAUAAUGGGCCUGCGAGUUACGCUAUGUCGCAAGGUUAAGCCGUUAGGUGUAGCCGAAGGGAAACCGAGUCCUCACAGGGCGUCUAGUGGCAUGGCGUAGACCCGAAACCGGGUGAUCUAUCCUUGGCCAGGUUGAAACGCGGGUAAUACCGCGUGGAGGACCGAACCCACUAAUGUUGAAAAAUUAGGGGAUGAGCUGAGGAUGGGAGUGAAAGGCUAAUCAAACUCGGAUAUAGCUGGUUCUCCGCGAAAUAUAUUGAGGUAUAGCCUCGGACAAAUUGCACCGGAGGUAGAGCACUGAAUGGGCUAGGGGUCCUACCAGAUUACCAAACCCAAUCAAACUCCGAAUGCCGGUGACAAGUAUCCGGGAGACAGGCUGCGGGAGAUAAGUUCCGUAGCCGAGAGGGAAAGAGCCCAGAUCGACAGCUAAGGUCCCCAAAUCCAGGCUAAGUGUCAAAGGAUGUGGGAGCGCUUAGACAACCAGGAGGUUGGCUUAGAAGCAGCCAUCCUUUAAAGAAAGCGUAAUAGCUCACUGGUCAAGCGAACCUGCGCCGAAAAUACAACGGGGCUAAGUCUGGUACCGAAGCUUCGGGUUCUCGCAAGAGAGCGGUAGCGGAGUAUUCUCAGGUAGACACACGGUGUACCGUAAGGAGCACUAUCGGACCUGAGAAGAGCUUAUGCAGGCAUGAGUAGCGAUAAACAAGAUGAGAAAUCUUGUCGCCGUAAGCCCAAGGUUUCCUGGGGAAGGAUAAUCCUCCCAUGGGUUAGUCGGUUCCUAAGCCGAGGCCGAGAGGCGUAGGUGAUGGAAAGCAGGUUAAUAUUCCUGCACCACAAGGGAAGUCGUUGAAGUAAGCAGGGACGGAGAAGGGUAUGCCGAGCCACUUAUUGGAUUGUGGUUCAAGCCUGUAGGCUGGCUGCGUAGGAGUCGAUAGACACAAACGCGUGGUCAAGGCCGAGAGGUGAUGAGGUGAGACUUCGGUCUCGUAACUCGGUGAUCCCAGGCUUCCAAGAAAAGCUGCGUACUGAGACUCUCUGGUGACCGUACCGCAAACCGACUCAGGUGGGCGGGGUGAAUAUCCCAAGGCGCGCGAGAAAACGCUGGCUAAGGAACUCGGCAAAAUGACACCGUAACUUCGGGAGAAGGUGUGCCCACGGACGUGACUAUCUUUCGAUAUGAGCGUUUGUGGGUCGCAGAGAAAUGAGGGUUGCGACUGUUUACUAAAAACAUAGGCCUCUGCGAACUCGUAAGAGGACGUAUAGGGUCUGACGCCUGCCCGGUGCUGGAAGGUUAAGGGGAGAGGUCAGCGCAAGCGAAGCUUCGAACCGAAGCCCCAGUAAACGGCGGCCGUAACUAUAACGGUCCUAAGGUAGCGAAAUUCCUUGUCGGGUAAGUUCCGACCUGCACGAAUGGCGUAACGACAUCCCUACUGUCUCGGUCAGCGACUCGGCGAAAUUGUAUUGGGGGUGAAGAUACCCUCUACCCGCAGCAAGACGGAAAGACCCCAUGAACCUUUACUGCAACUUGACAGUGAAGUUCGGGACAAUCUGCGUAGGAUAGGUGGGAGGCUUUGAAGCCGGGAUUCUGGUCUCGGUGGAGCCACCGUUGAAAUACCACCCUGAUUGUUCUGGACUUCUAACCUAGGCCCGUGAUCCGGGUCGGGGACACUGUCUGGUGGGCAGUUUGACUGGGGCGGUCGCCUCCUAAAACGUAACGGAGGCGCACGAAGGUUCCCUCAGGCUGAUUGGAAACCAGCCGCAGAGUGUAAUGGCACAAGGGAGCUUAACUGUGAGAUCGACAGAUCGAACAGGUGCGAAAGCAGGUCAUAGUGAUCCGGUGGCACAGUGUGGAAUGGCCAUCGCUCAACGGACAAAAGGUACUCUGGGGAUAACAGGCUGAUCGCGCCUGAGAGUUCAUAUCGGCGGCGCGGUUUGGCACCUCGAUGUCGGCUCAUCGCAUCCUGGGGCUGGAGCAGGUCCCAAGGGUUUGGCUGUUCGCCAAUUAAAGCGGUACGCGAGCUGGGUUUAGAACGUCGUGAGACAGUUCGGUCCCUAUCUGCUGUGGGCGCAGGAUACUUGAGAGGAGCUAUCCAUAGUACGAGAGGACCUGGAUGGACGUACCUCUAGUGUUCCGGUUGUCACGCCAGUGGCAAAGCCGGGUAGCCAUGUACGGAACGGAUAAUCGCUGAAAGCAUCUAAGCGAGAAGCCGGCCUCAAGACUAGGUAUCCCGGGACGCAAGUCCCCUAAAGGCCCCUUGUAGACUACGAGGUUAAUAGGCAGGGUGUGGAAGUGCAGCAAUGCACGUAGCUGACCUGUACUAAUCGGCCGUGAGGCUUGACUUA
RNAcentral lists this ribosomal RNA (3000 nucleotides) under Sandaracinaceae bacterium. RNAcentral describes it as "23S ribosomal RNA". It matches the Rfam family "Bacterial large subunit ribosomal RNA". The record is from RNAcentral. Lineage: Bacteria; Pseudomonadati; Myxococcota; Polyangiales; Sandaracinaceae.